UUUUGCCCCAGGAUUUCCUUUCCUGGACUUGCAACCUGUUUGCCCAACCCACUCUCCAUCUGGGGGCCACCUGGGGAGGAACAGAAACAAACAAAGGGCACCUUCUCCCUCCUGGAGCACCACUGCCCCCUCCCACUUGCUGCUCUUCUUUAACUGAUCCUUCAGACUCCAGUGCUGAGCGUCUGGGCUGCAGGCAGCCCCCUCUGGAGGCAGAGAGUUGGGUCUCCAAAGAAAGCCUGGAGGUUGAUGAGCAAGGCUGGUUCCUCCUGCCCUGUAGGUGCCUGGAAGUCUGGGGAAAGGAAAUCUUGGGGCAAAAUACCUCUAAAAAUUGAACUCAGCCAAAAGGGGAAAUGAAGUUUAAAAUCUGUUUAUUGCUUACAAACUGCAGUCUGGGGCCUUCUCUCUUUCCUGCUCCAGCAGAAGCAAAACCGGCCCUCCCCCUCACCUCUCAGGUAUAGAUACGCCCUCCAGUUACCCAGGUAAUUAUACAUGGAUAUGAAGAUGAACUUCUCUUCACCCCUGAGGAAUGAUGCAAAUGCACUAAAGCCAUACUUCUUUCCACCUCUGAAUACCUAUUGAUAUGCAGAUAUACUAAAGCCAGGUGAGAUAUUCUGGAAAUAUUACAAUUUUACUCACAGUGCCCCAGUCCUGUGCCUGUGCAUCUAGGAACGUAGAAGCAGGAGUGGGGGUAGGAAGGAGUUGGUAAGGCCUGAGGUGGGAGGGAGAGAAGGAACCAGAGCCCUAGGUUAAUGGAUUGACCCACAUCAUGUUUGCUUUAUGCAUGUUUCUAGAAUCAGGAGGCUGAGAUAUACAGGAUUGUAAUUCUCCCUAAAUCCAAUUUCAGUGGUCCCAGUGACAACAGGUAUAUAGGGGUGGGGAGAAACAAGAAGGACUCUUAAGUCACCAGCAUCCAGAAGUAAGGCCAAGGCCCCUUGUUGGUGCCAUGCAGCCUUGGGCUGGUGCGUUCUGACCCUUGUAAGUGGAUGCAGUUUUAGACAUCCUCUCUCCAGCCCUCCAGCAAGGCCAUUUGUCCAUUCAGUGAAGCAAACCUUGUUACUUUCCAAGCACCUGCUUUUUAAAAAUGGCUCUUUAAAAAAAACCAGAAACAUUACAAAGGUGUGAUUGAUACACAAAAAGC
Non-coding RNA from Manis javanica (Malayan pangolin), 1138 nucleotides. The record is from RefSeq and is a predicted model, not a curated record. NCBI's taxonomy places the organism in Eukaryota, Metazoa, Chordata, Mammalia, Pholidota, Manidae.